AUGCCGCCCGCGCCCAGCUUGGUCAGGAUGGAGUUCACCGGUCCGCUGGACGGAUCCAGGACGAAGCGCAUCACCACGCCGAUGAUCGCCGUCGUGGUCACGACCGGGAUGAAGAACGCAG
Molecule: unclassified non-coding RNA, 121 nt
Filed under: fungal sp.
Lineage: Eukaryota; Fungi
Description: partial internal transcribed spacer region
Source: RNAcentral